Molecule: transfer RNA, 76 nt
Filed under: Chloroflexota bacterium
Lineage: Bacteria; Bacillati; Chloroflexota
Description: Chloroflexi bacterium (groundwater metagenome) tRNA-Arg
Rfam family: tRNA
About the family: Transfer RNA (tRNA) molecules are approximately 80 nucleotides in length. Their secondary structure includes four short double-helical elements and three loops (D, anti-codon, and T loops).
Source: RNAcentral
GCCCCCGUAGCUCAGUGGAUAGAGCACUUGGUUGCGGACCAAGGGGUCAGGUGUUCGAGUCACCUCGGGGGCGCCA